AACGAACGCUGGCGGCGUGCCUAACACAUGCAAGUCGAGCGAGAAAGCCCGCAAGGGUGAGUACAGCGGCGCACGGGUGCGUAACACGUGGGUAAUCUGCCCUGAAGCCCGGAAUAACCUCCCGAAAGGGAAGCUAAUACCGGAUAAGACCACGGGGACUUCGGUUCCUGGGGGAAAAGGUGGCCUCUGUACACAAGCUAUCACUUCUGGAUGAGCCCGCGGCCCAUCAGCUAGUUGGCGGGGUAAUGGCCCACCAAGGCUACGACGGGUAGCUGGUCUGAGAGGACGAUCAGCCACACUGGAACUGAGACACGGUCCAGACUCCUACGGGUGGCAG
This 337-nucleotide ribosomal RNA is filed under the name uncultured Pseudomonadota bacterium. RNAcentral's name for it is "bacterial SSU rRNA". It matches the Rfam family "Bacterial small subunit ribosomal RNA", at positions 29 to 351 of the family's 1533-position model. The record is from RNAcentral. Lineage: Bacteria; Pseudomonadati; Pseudomonadota.